Molecule: long non-coding RNA, 385 nt
Organism: Lycium barbarum (goji berry)
Lineage: Eukaryota; Viridiplantae; Streptophyta; Magnoliopsida; Solanales; Solanaceae
Exons: 3
Source: RefSeq, a predicted model, not a curated record
UAGAGGAGGAGCAUCUAGUUCGUGCGGUCCUCAGAACCGCAUCUAUGCACUGGCUGGAUGACAAGAUCUUGAGUCUUCGCUUGAUGUUGUUACAGAGUGAUUGUUGAACCUCAAAAAGACCCGUUUAGUAGCGUUUGAGCGAGAAUUGAGGUACACCCAGAUGUGUUGAAGCUAUUAUAGAAGAUGUUCCAGCGGAGUUGGCAGGUUCCACUUGUUCCUGGAGUGCUGCCGAGUCAGAGUAUAUGUGCUAUGAUGUCUGAUUAAUGUUAGAGACUUUGCAGACAGAGUCGUGGGUAUAGAAUGUCAGUUCUGUGAGCGGCUCCAUCAGCCGAUGUGUCAUUUAUGUUAUGAUAUAAAUUCCAUAUGAUCAAAGAUUUUGUUUGAU